GAUGAACGCUGGCGGCGUGCCUAAUACAUGCAAGUCGAGCGAACAGACGAGGAGCUUGCUCCUCUGACGUUAGCGGCGGACGGGUGAGUAACACGUGGAUAACCUACCUAUAAGACUGGGAUAACUUCGGGAAACCGGAGCUAAUACCGGAUAAUAUAUUGAACCGCAUGGUUCAAUAGUGAAAGACGGUUUUGCUGUCACUUAUAGAUGGAUCUGGGCCGCAUUAUCUAGUUGGUAAGGUAACGGCUUACCAAGGCAACGAUGCGUAGCCGACCUCAGAGGGUGAUCGGCCACACUGGAACUGAGACACGGUCCAGACUCCUACGGGAGGCAGCAGUAGGGAAUCUUACGCAAUGGGCGAAAGCCUGACGGAGCAACACCGCGUGAAUGAUGAAGGUCUUCGGAUCGUAAAACUCUGUUAUUAGGGAAGAACAAAUGUGUAAGUAACUAUGCACGUCUUGACGGUACCUAAUCAGAAAGCCACGGCUAACUACGUG
This 497-nucleotide ribosomal RNA is filed under the name uncultured bacterium. Its description in RNAcentral is "partial 16S ribosomal RNA". It matches the Rfam family "Bacterial small subunit ribosomal RNA", at positions 28 to 507 of the family's 1533-position model. The record is from RNAcentral.